This 253-nucleotide ribosomal RNA is filed under the name uncultured bacterium. RNAcentral's name for it is "partial 16S ribosomal RNA". It matches the Rfam family "Bacterial small subunit ribosomal RNA", at positions 524 to 776 of the family's 1533-position model. The record is from RNAcentral.
UACAGAGGUGGCAAGCGUUGUUCGGAAUUACUGGGCGUAAAGGGCGCGUAGGCGGCCUUCUAAGUCAGACGUGAAAUCCCCCGGCUUAACCUGGGAACUGCGUCUGAUACUGGAGGGCUUGAGUAUGGGAGAGGGAUGUAGAAUUCCAGGUGUAGCGGUGAAAUGCGUAGAUAUCUGGAGGAACACCUGUGGUGUAGACAGCUUACUGGACCAUCACUGACGCUGAGACACGAAAGCGUGGGUAGCAAACAGG